RNAcentral lists this ribosomal RNA (76 nucleotides) under Vibrio parahaemolyticus. Lineage: Bacteria; Pseudomonadati; Pseudomonadota; Gammaproteobacteria; Vibrionales; Vibrionaceae. The record is from RNAcentral. RNAcentral also lists the same sequence under 1 other name.
CGAACUCAGAAGUGAAACGAAAUAGCGCCGAUGGUAGUGUGGGGUUUCCCCAUGUGAGAGUAGGACAUCGCCAGGC